Molecule: ribosomal RNA, 346 nt
Filed under: uncultured bacterium
Lineage: Bacteria
Description: bacterial SSU rRNA
Rfam family: Bacterial small subunit ribosomal RNA
Source: RNAcentral
AGAGUUCGAUUAUGGCUCAGGAUGAACGCUGGCGGCGUGCCUAACACAUGCAAGUCGAACGAAGCUCCUGCGACAGAUUCCUUCGGGAUGAAGAUGCUUGAGACUUAGUGGCGGACGGGUGAGUAACGCGUGGGUAACCUGCCCUGUACUGGGGGACAACAGUUAGAAAUGACUGCUAAUACCGCAUAAGCCUACAGAGUCGCAUGACUCAGCAGGAAAAAUUCCGGUGGUACAGGAUGGGCCCGCGUCUGAUUAGCUAGUUGGUGAGGUAACGGCUCACCAAGGCGACGAUCAGUAGCCGGCUUGAGAGAGUGAACGGCCACAUUGGGACUGAGACACGGCCCAA